Molecule: ribosomal RNA, 32 nt
Filed under: Alternaria tagetica
Lineage: Eukaryota; Fungi; Ascomycota; Dothideomycetes; Pleosporales; Pleosporaceae
Also listed under: 1 other name
Description: partial 18S ribosomal RNA
Source: RNAcentral
AGGUGAACCUGCGGAGGGAUCAUUACACAAAU